AUUCAAAAACGUUUUCGGAUUUUUCCAGAUUAAUCUAAUUUUUGCACCAGCAGUAUAUACAAAUAAUUUUGUCUUUACAUUAUACUGUCUAGUGAAAUUUCGGAAAAUGUUUAGUUAUCUGGUUGUUGCACACCGUCGUCUUUAAUAUUUCCUUCAGUGCGAGCAAUAUAAUUAAAAAUAAUAUUGUUACAGCUGAAAAAUAAAACAAUAACCUUCGAUUUAACAUCAUGUUAACAUCAUAAUAUCACAUUAAAUAAUGUUAUUGUUCCCACGCAAUAAUAUUAUAACACACAAUACUGUGAUAAUGAAAUUAAAUACUGAAAUAAGUAAUAGGUAUAUACUGUCAAAACCGUACAAUUAUAACCGUUACAGGUAGAUUUUCUUGGAAACGUGAAGAUUAUUAACUAUGCAGGUAUAAUACCUAAUAACAAUGUUAUUUCCCUUCAAUUUACCACAGUAUUUGCAGUAAACUUUAUUUCCGCUGUUGAUAACAAUAUCAUAGACAAUUAAAACAUAUUAUGUAAAUGUAUAAUCAUAGUUACACGGUGCAUAUUGUACAAUAUAUUUGGGUGAGAAAAUAUGUACAAUGCAAUGAAGGUAGAUUAUAUAUAUAUAUAUAUGUAUAU
This is a non-coding RNA of Cinara cedri, 626 nucleotides long. The record is from the annotation of a GenBank genome assembly. Lineage: Eukaryota; Metazoa; Arthropoda; Insecta; Hemiptera; Aphididae.